UUACUGGACAAAUAUGCACAAAGUGAACGUUUUGGUGGAGUGUGAAAGUGCAAGCAGCUCCUUUUGUUUUCUUUUGUUGCAUGAAAGAAACUGGGAGCAUGAUCACUUUUGGUGGAAUAGAUCAUUCUUAUUAUACUGGUUCUAUUAACUGGAUCCCUGUGAGUCAACAAACAUACUGGCAGAUUUCAAUGGACAGUGUUCUAGUGAAU
Molecule: non-coding RNA, 209 nt
Organism: Notechis scutatus (mainland tiger snake)
Lineage: Eukaryota; Metazoa; Chordata; Lepidosauria; Squamata; Elapidae
Source: RefSeq, a predicted model, not a curated record